Molecule: ribosomal RNA, 468 nt
Filed under: uncultured bacterium
Lineage: Bacteria
Description: partial 16S ribosomal RNA
Rfam family: Bacterial small subunit ribosomal RNA
Source: RNAcentral
GACGAACGCUGGCGGCGUGCUUAACACAUGCAAGUCGAACGGAAAGGCCCUGCUUUUGUGGGGUGCUCGAGUGGCGAACGGGUGAGUAACACGUGAGUAACCUGCCCUGGACUUUGGGAUAACUUCAGGAAACUGGGGCUAAUACCGGAUAGGAGCUCCUGCUGCAUGGUGGGGGUUGGAAAGUUUCGGCGGUUGGGGAUGGACUCGCGGCUUAUCAGCUUGUUGGUGGGGUAGUGGCUUACCAAGGCUUUGACGGGUAGCCGGCCUGAGAGGGUGACCGGCAACAUUGGGACUGGGAUACGGCCCGGACUCCUACGGGGGGCAGAAGUGGGGAAUAUUGCACAAUGGGCGGAAGCCUGAGGCAGCAACGCCGGGUGCGGGAUAACGGCCUUCGGGUUGAAAACCGCUUUCGCCUGUGACGAAGCGUGAGUGACGGUAAUGGGUAAAGAAGCACCGGCUAACUACGUG